This is an RNA transcript of Triticum dicoccoides, 2887 nucleotides long. RefSeq lists it as uncharacterized. Lineage: Eukaryota; Viridiplantae; Streptophyta; Magnoliopsida; Poales; Poaceae. The record is from RefSeq and is a predicted model, not a curated record. The transcript has 7 exons.
GGAUUUGUAAAGUCCGGAUGUAGAUGUUCUUAGAUGGACAUGGAGUAAUUGGUCCCGAGCACACAUGUGCCCGAUAUCUCCUCCGUUCGCUAAUGCAUGUGGAUGUGGGCCAAUAGUUUAUACGGUGCGUUAAGGGCAGCUCGUAAAAGCGGACUGCAGUGAAAUACGUAUGCGUCAGAGGCGGUUCGUGGGCCGGGCUAGCAGCGUGGGCGGACGGGUUUCUGGGCGGCCGUCGACCGCCGACGAGGUGAGCCGUGGAUCAGGUUCUCGAUUUCCGUCUGCUCCGUGGCUCAGAAAAGUCGCUGCUCCACGCAUUGAAUGCAAGGUGUGUCUGUUCUUCCCCAACGCGGCCGUCAUUUUGGAGAUUCAGAGGCAAGGAGGGGAGAGAGUGGAAGAACAGGCGACCGACAGGAUGGAUUUCCUCAUGCAAUCAGGAGAUCCAAUCGGAUUGAGGAGGUUGGGGGAGAGUCUAGUGCUGGAAGGGUUGCCGGCACAUGGCGCCAGGCGGACAGUGGUCAAGGUGACGCUGCAGGAGGCCACGGGCGUGAGCGCCAAAGGGCGGAUCUGCGGCGUGGCUGAAGCGGCGGCAGUGGCAAGGGGCAGCGGCAGUGACAAGGGGCAGCCCGCCUCUGACUUCCGAGCUGUCGACGGGGAAGAUGAAUCCUCAGGCUCCUCGUUGGAACAAGAGUUUGGUUGAAUUUCUGCUGGGAGUACUCUGUGACAUGAAUUAGCGUGCAAACUCACUGUUCUGAAUUGAAAUAAAUUCAACAUUGCUAUGAAGAUUUACGGUUGAGGAUUGGAGCUUCUGCCCCAAGCUUGACACCUUGCUCACCCCGCGUAAGCGCUUUUGAGAAGGCAGUUAGGGUCUUCGUAGAAAACCCAACUGAAGAUGAGCCGUGACUUGUAAUUUGGCGGUGGUAAUCUGGUUCGCGGACCAGGAAAUUCGCUCUCUGUUAGGUGGAUGGCUUGAAUCAUUCACUGCAGGCCGGUGGCUCCCCGACUGCGGUAUCCAAAUCCAUUUCCAGUCAGCGGGGUGCUGCAGCGCACAUGACUCCAUUCCAGCGAUGGAGUUCCUAAUGCAGCCAAUUAGAAGGUAUCCUAUUGUGGAGGAGGUGAGUGAGAGUGAGCAGGAGAUGAAUCUGCCAGCGAACAGGGCGGUGGCGACUUUCCCGAUAGUGGAUGAACCGUCGGCGGCCUAUCCACGCAGAUGUGUGAGUUACAGACUGCCGUGUUGGGAAGACGGAAGAGCCAGUCGCAGCAAUCUGAACUAUCAACUGGUAAGAUGAACCUGCAGGCGCUGUGAUGGUCUAAAAGGUGCGCGUGUGUAAGCUUAGAUUGGAUCUGAAUUUAUUGAGAAUGCUUGAAUGAAAUUGUAGUAGAAUGCAUAGAUCUAUCGAUGCAGUGACAUUCAUUCGGUAGCAUGAGAAAUUGUCUACAUGGCACUUUUAGAGCAUGUUUGUAUUAAUAAUUGACACACUGUACUAGUUGAAAUUAGCUCAUGAUUGAGCAAUUCUGAAGAAAAAGAAGUACAUGCCGUUCGGACAAUUUGUCAGUUUGAAAAACCAUAACCAGAGUGUGAUCUUAGCUGGCGUCCUGGUACACGAUGAGACCGUGUAGAGUUUUGAGUGGUUUUUUACUGAAUUCCUGAGGAUUAUGGGACCUGUAGCACCAAGGACAAUCCUAACAGGUAUGUUGAUUAAGGACAUUUCUUAAAAAGAGUACUCGAAGAUGGUGCUGGUAGUAUGAUGAUAUGAUUGUUUCUUGUUUUUGUUCAUGUGCAGACCAGAAUCGAGCUGCAGUUAACAGUGUGAUGCUUGUUGGUGUGCCGACGGCUGGGGCACAAGAGAACUACUUAUCCAGAUCGUGGCGAUGUGCCAAAUCAGCCUUGGAAGCCGACGAAGUGCAAAAAUUGUGGUGUGGUGGGGCACCAAAGGAAUAAUUUUACGAAAGCAAUGGACCUGAGGUUAGCUGGUGACGUGUGGUGGUGAGUGAAAAAUGCCAAACGAUUUCAGCAAGUUUGAAUGGUCAAAGUGUGACUUGUUUUCUGCAUUCGUGAUGUGUUUGUGCAACUGAGCACCUGCCCUGCGUGCAGGCAUGCUUUAUGUCUUGAGUUGUAAUACAAAUGUAUUCAGUGAUGCAUUAGUGGGUGCUGUGAAGUAUCUAGGGUUGAAAAAAAAUCCUUUUUCAGUUGGGUUUAUGGAAGGUGAACUGCUUAAUUAGAUGAAACCAUGCAAGUGGACUGACUUUUUAUAAUCAGUUGUUGUUUUGUAUGCUUGAGGGAAGUCUACAGCCGGGCAGAUGGAUAUAGUCGUCAGUGCGGGCGACGACGGCUCUAUGGUGACCUUGCAUGCAGUUUGUAGUGGAAUCUCUAAAAAGACUUACAAUUGGGAACGGAGGGAGUAGGUAGCAGCAGAUGAUGCAGAGGGGCACUGUCGAGCAAGCGUCAAAUGUGGCAAUGCAGAGUGAGGAUGCAAUAAAGUAUUGGACUGACGCUUCAGAAGGCGUGACACUUUCCACUGGACUAGGCGCCGGAAUAUGAUCCAGUCAACCUGGCGACUGUUGAUGUUGUUGGGGAGGGCUAAGGUGAUUAUGAUCCAGUAAUGAAUCGUGGAGAUGAGUCGAACAAAUUGUUUGGUGUCGGCGAUGGAUCCGUCAUCCGUUGCUGGAAAUGGGUGCGUUAUUCCGACGAGGAGUACGCAGAAGUGAGCAAUUCUGAACCAAAACGACGGCGGCUCGUUUAGGGAAGAACUAGGAUCAGUUUGCUGGCGUUGCGUCGGGUAAUGAUGUCAUUACCCGCCUAGUGCUAGUGGUGUGAUGUAAUCCAUGUACAAGUUUGUUGUGCUGUCAUAGUUAAUUAAGAUCCAUAAUCGUCAUAUCACAUUUGUCU